Molecule: long non-coding RNA, 2371 nt
Organism: Ctenopharyngodon idella (grass carp)
Lineage: Eukaryota; Metazoa; Chordata; Actinopteri; Cypriniformes; Xenocyprididae
Exons: 3
Source: RefSeq, a predicted model, not a curated record
UAGAGCUGUAUGGCUCUGUGUUCAGUAUGGCUCUGAAAGCCAGAGGGCGCUCUUGCGCAGAAACUGCAAAUAUACCCUGCCCCAGAAGAAGAUAACACCCAUCAUAUCGCUGUAGCUGAAUAAACAGAAGAUUGAAAUGCUUUGAUUAAACAUGACUAAUAAACACACGACUGCCUUAUUCUGUGUAAGAAGCCACAUCAUCUCACAGAAGGACGUUCAACUGUCGUUGUGAAUUUUUUUUUCUUCUGGGAAGAGUGAUAUGGUGAGCACGGGAUGUGCAAGUGCUGUGCCGGGCCCAUAGGCAGGGAUGCGGCACCAGUGGGAUUCAUUAGGAUUUCCGAGUAAAUGUGUGGGUUUGUGCAAAACCAAAGGUAAAUGACUACAGUUUGCUCAAUGGCUUGUGUGUGAGCCGCAGACUGAUGGGGUCAAGGUCUAUGAAUUCUGAAUCUAAUACGGAGACAGUCUUUGAAAAGCUUUCCACCUAGGUGAGAGCCAGACAUUUUUCCAUUCUUCAAAACGGACAUUAACAUUUUACAUUUGGUUGCCAAAUUUCCAUGUAAUUACAUUCAAAUGACAUUGAAAUGUGGGUACAACAAUAACCUCCUGACACUGGGCUACAUUCUGUCGGUAGCGAUUACAAAAGCAACUCAUUAAAGCUAUUGUGCAACCUAAAAAUGUCACAUAUAGCCUUAAAAACUGAAAACAUUUUAUUAUGGCUCCUCAAGCUAACAAUAAAACGAACUGGCAAAAAGAAUACAAUGUAGGACAUUCAUGUGAAAUAGAAUUAUUUGAGAAAAUAAUAAUGAUAAUAAAUUAAGCUAUUGCUAGUGUUGUAGUCAAGACUACCUAAACUGAGACCAAGUCAAGACCAAGACCAGUGUGUGUUGAGACCAAGACAAGACCAGGAUUUCCGUUAAAUAAUACAUUAAAUUUCUAUUUGUUUUUCACCAAACCUUAUUGAAUACCCCCAGAACACUUUGAAUGUACAACACGUGUCACAUGGGAUCACUCUGUGAUACUUUUGAGUCUUUUUAAAAAGGAUUGAUUGUCGAGCGAUUGAUUGUUUUUAAUUCUCCUUUUACGAUCCAAAAAAGAAAGAAAGGGCAUACGACAUUAGAACAACACCAGGGUGAGUAAAUGAUGGCUUAAUUUUCAUUUUAGGGUGAAAUAUCCCUUUAAUAUUUUUCUCACGUAGUAUACAAUUCAAUAUACUGUAUAGCUGUAUUUAUAUUUUAGGAACAGGAUAUCAGGAUAACAAAACACAAGGAUAUCAUCAUUCUGUAUGUGAGGGUCCUUGGGGGGUCUGAAAAAUCCAGGUUUAAAAGGUCCAGUAUGUAAUAUUUAGGAGGAUUUAUUGACAGAAAUGCAAUAUAAUAUACAUGACUAUGUUUUCAGUGGUGUAUAAAGAACUUACAUAAUGAACCGUUAUGUUUUUAUUACCUUAGAAUGAGCCAUUUCUAUCUACAUACACCGCGGGUCCCCUUACAUGGAAAUCGCCAUUUUGCACCGUCAUGUUUCUACAGUAGCCCUAAAUGGACAAACUGUUCUACAGAGUGCUUUUGCUUGACUGGCUACUCUCUUCUGUCUCAGGCGAUGACAUGUUUGUCCUGUAUCAGCCACCAUAGCUUCUCUACCUGCUUCAAAAAGGAGGAGUGAGUGGUGGACUGAGCCAUUGGUUGCAAUUCGCAACCUCAUCGCUAGAUGCCGCUAAAAUGUACACACUGAACCUUUACAGCAAAAGCACUGAAAUAUAAUUUUUUCUCCCAUCAUUUUUUUUUUUUACUUCAUGUCCCACUUAACCUACAGUACAUACACUACUGCAUAUGAAAAAACAGCAUGAAUAGUAUAUUUUUUCAUAACAUACUGUACUCUCUCUUUUCACUUAAACCGAAAGUAUACUUCGGCUGUCCGUGUGAGAUAAUUUGCGUCAUCAGGAGGGACCGUGGACGUCCACACACACUGCCCAAUUUUUGUGUCUGCGCAGACAGUGUGCGUACAACAAAAAACAAAGUCCACUAGAUAGUGCACAUGCAGCGAUAACAUCUUUCCACGCUCACGGCCAAAGGAGUACAUUUGAAAGGCUCGCGCUCUCAGCUGUGCGUGAGACGGAGCGGAACGCGGAAAAUGAAGUAUACCCGGGCCUUUAUCUGUAGCCAUUACCUCCUGAUGGGAUAUCCUAACUGCUAUAAAACCUGAAUCAGUAUUCAGAGCAUUUCUAUAGGUCUAGCAUUGAUCGCUGCAUGCAUAGGGUAGAAUGCAUUUGCAAGUAAGAAUUGAUGGAAACUGUUCAGAACUCCAUUUGCUCAGAGAUCCAGAGACACAUUGCACAGAGAUACCGUGCACUAUGGUUAUUUGCAAAAAGCAAAAACAG